RNAcentral lists this ribosomal RNA (501 nucleotides) under uncultured bacterium. Its description in RNAcentral is "partial 16S ribosomal RNA". The record is from RNAcentral.
GUAGUUAGCCGGGGCUUUCUUACAGGGUACCGUCACUUCUUCGUCCCCUGCGACAGAGGUUUACAAUCCGAAAACCUUCUUCCCUCACGCGGCGUUGCUGGGUCAGGCUUGCGCCCAUUGCCCAAUAUUCCCCACUGCUGCCUCCCGUAGGAGUCUGGACCGUGUCUCAGUUCCAGUGUGGCCGAUCAGCCUCUCAGCUCGGCUACCCAUCGUCGGCUUGGUGGGCUGUUAUCUCACCAACUACCUAAUGGGACGCGAACCCCUCUAAAAGCGAUAAAUCUUUGACCUCUUCCCGAUGCCGGGUUGUGGUCUUAUGCGGUAUUAGCAGUUGUUUCCACCUGUUAUUCCCCACUCUUAGGCAGGUUGUUCACGCGUUACUCACCCGUGCGCCACUAGAAUUAUCAAUUCCAUCCGAAAACUUCCUUAAUAAUCCCCGUUACGACUUGCAUGUGUUAGGCACGCCGCCAGCGUUCGUCCUCGAGCACGAAUACGAACCUACGA